This is a long non-coding RNA of Pristis pectinata (smalltooth sawfish), 565 nucleotides long. RefSeq lists it as uncharacterized. The transcript has 5 exons. NCBI's taxonomy places the organism in Eukaryota, Metazoa, Chordata, Chondrichthyes, Rhinopristiformes, Pristidae. The record is from RefSeq and is a predicted model, not a curated record.
GAGGAAUCAGAUUUGUGUCUUGCAGGUUGAGAGUGUUGGGGUGGUCCAUUGGAUAUUAGAGCAACAAAGUAGAAGCAGAGGGAGACCAUUUAGGAGAAAAGAGCAUAGAACCUGAAGGAGACGGAACUCUCUGGAGGAGAUCCCUCAUCAUUCUCAUAGCUAACAGCCACAGAGGGGGUCCUGGCUCUAUGGUAUCCAGACAAGGAAAAGAAUAUCUUUUGAGGGCAGGAACAGCGGGCAGAUUGACCCUGUCACAAUCGACCUGCAUCCUAUCACGUAUCGCUCAAGGUCCUCGCCAGGAUCCGACAGGGUUCGUAUUCUUACCCAGGUCAGAACUGAGUUCCCACACGACAGAAGAUACCUACAACCCUGCAGCAGCCGAUGCUGCCUGACCCGCUGAGUUCCUCCAGCAGUUUGUUUUCUGCUCCAGAACUCUCCUGUUCUUCAAAAUAACAACAUGGGGUAUUAUUUCUUCUUGACGUGGAGCCUCCAUUCAACAAAGCAUCCACAAGACAGCACCGCCAACAGUGACGCACACCUGCAGCACAUCAACUUUGGCUUUGCU